CAAAUUUUAAUUUAAAACAACAAAAUAUAAAUCAGAGUAGAUAUGCAAAUAAGGGUGUCACACUUGACACUUCACACCGUUCACCAAAAUAGUUUGUCAUGCUUAUUUAUUAAUCGAAAUAAGAUAUUGCACAUAUUCGCAGUGGAUAUAAAUCUAACAACAUGCAAAUCCAUGUAACACAUUACAUGUAAAAGUGUCCAACAACAAAAUGAAAACAAGUAAAACAUCCCGUCCCGAUGUUACAUAUACCAGAGCAUGACCCACUAAGGAACUACACUAGACUCCAAGCACUAGCUUCUACUCAAUCACUGCUCGUUACCUGAAACAUAGUUGUAAGGGUGAGUUCCUCAAUCGAUAUAAUAAGCAUUAUAAAAUAUCAUGUAAUGCUAAGUAAAUUAACACAUUCAUCACCCUAAUCAUAUCACACAUUCAGCAACGGCAACAUCAACUCAUAAUCAUACUCAACACAAACACAAAACACACGUAUAAUAUUGGAAUACAUCCAUUCAUAUUAUACGCCAUACAUACAUUAUGCAAUGAGACUCCAUGCAUGCGGUACCGACUAUUCGUGAACACAUAGUUCAACCUCACCGAUCAAACCCAGAUACGGCUACCAAGCUCACUAGUCCCACUCAUUUGAGACCUAGUGACUCACUCACUAAUUCCUCACCAUGGGAAUUAGCUACCACCAUAAAGGCCAUGCUAUGCACGCUAAAUCACCUAGCAUGCAAACAUCAACAACAAUCCAAGAUAGACAUAUGCUCACACUCUAAGCCAUAAACAGUCCAUUCACAAUUGCAUACAUAACAGAUACAUUCACAGCAUUAUGCAUACCAUUAUACAUCAUCAGCAUGUUUAUCACAGAAUCAUAUCAUAUCAUGCCAAAUAAUAAUUCACAGUAUUAGCACACUCUACUAAUACCUAUACUGCUCAAAACAACGGGAAAUGAUCCCUACUACAUCAUACAUCAGCUAAAUUACAUCACUCAGCUGAAACGACCAAAAACUGCACAACAACAGCUCAGAAAAAUCCCACUUCUGCCCAUACGCGUAUGCCUCAUGCCCAUACGCGUAUGGCCCAUUUCCUAGCCAAGCCCAUACGCGUAUGGCCUAUCUCAUACGCGUAUUGAUAUGCGUACAACUUCUCCCAUACGCGUACCAACAGAGACAAAACCACGUUAAAACAUCAUCUUCUUCCUUCAUACGCGUAUGGCCUCACCCCAUACGCGUACCACUCACAGGCUACGCGUAUUACACGCGUAUGGCACGUAUUAGCGCCAGUCUUCUCCCCUCCAGGCCAUCCCAUACGCGUAUUGCCUAGUGUCAUACGCGUAUGGCCAGAAACCCAGAUUUCCAGAUCUGCUAUGGUUUUCUCUGCUACGGAAUUCCUCAGAUCCAACCUUCCACAGUCCAAUUUUUACACAGCAUUCGUUCAUAUUAUCUAACACAGAUCAUACACAUUCAAUUUCACAAUUUCGAACCUUAUCACAUCUAAUUCCUACGAAUUUUCUUCAAUUAUAACCCAUAUCUCGUUCAUCCAUAAGUUCACCAAUUUCAGCAUGCAUCAUCCUAAUUAGAGUCGAUUCAAUGGUUUAUUACUACCCAUUACAUGUUAACCCAUAAUACCCAUUAAACGACGAUAAACCCCCCUUACCUGAGUUAAUCCGGCAAAUCCUUGGACUUCGAGCUUUUCCCUUCUGCAACCCUUGUUCUCUUGCUCUUCCUCUUUGCCCUUUUUCCACUUUUCUGUCGCUUCUCCCUUUUCACGUGAAAAAAACCCUUUUUACCAAAAAAUGGGACUUUUUACUGAUUCCAACUUUAUAUUCCAAUAAUAAUAAUUCAAAUUAUUUAAUUAAAUUAAUAAAUAUACUAUUAACUUAAAUUAAAUAAUUAUCAUAUUUUAUCGGGGUGUU
Molecule: long non-coding RNA, 1912 nt
Filed under: Lathyrus oleraceus (garden pea)
Lineage: Eukaryota; Viridiplantae; Streptophyta; Magnoliopsida; Fabales; Fabaceae
Description: Pisum sativum (pea) long non-coding RNA (PSAT_LNC033219)
Source: RNAcentral